UACGUAGGGUGCGAGCGUUAAUCGGAAUUACUGGGCGUAAAGCGUGCGCAGGCGGUGCUGUAAGACAGGCGUGAAAUCCCCGGGCUUAACCUGGGAAUGGCGCUUGUGACUGCAGUGCUGGAGUGUGGCAGAGGGGGAUGGAAUUCCGCGUGUAGCGGUGAAAUGCGUAGAUAUGCGGAGGAACACCGAUGGCGAAGGCAAUCCCCUGGGCCUGCACUGACGCUCAUGCACGAAAGCGUGGGGAGCAAACAGG
Molecule: ribosomal RNA, 253 nt
Filed under: uncultured Hydrogenophaga sp.
Lineage: Bacteria; Pseudomonadati; Pseudomonadota; Betaproteobacteria; Burkholderiales; Comamonadaceae
Description: partial 16S ribosomal RNA
Rfam family: Bacterial small subunit ribosomal RNA
Source: RNAcentral